RNAcentral lists this ribosomal RNA (347 nucleotides) under uncultured bacterium. Its description in RNAcentral is "partial 16S ribosomal RNA". It matches the Rfam family "Bacterial small subunit ribosomal RNA", at positions 338 to 699 of the family's 1533-position model. The record is from RNAcentral.
CCUACGGGCGGCAGCAGUGGGGAAUAUUGGGCAAUGGGCGCAAGUCUGACCCAGCAAUGCCGCGUGCAGGAAGAAGGCUUUCGGGUUGUAAACUUCUUUUCUCAGGGACGAAGCAAGAGACGGUACCUGCGGAAUAAGCCACGGCUAACUACGUGCCAGCAGCCGCGGUAAUACGUAGGUGGCAAGCGUUAUCCGGAUUUACUGGGUGUAAAGGGCGUGUAGGCGGGACUGCAAGUCAGAUGUGAAAACCAUGGGCUCAACCUAGGGCCUGCAUUUGAAACUGUAGUUCGUGUGAACUGGUGAGGCAGACGGAAUGCAUAGUGUAGCGGUGAAAUGCGUAGAGAUUA